RNAcentral lists this ribosomal RNA (2468 nucleotides) under Escherichia coli. RNAcentral's name for it is "partial 23S ribosomal RNA". It matches the Rfam family "Bacterial large subunit ribosomal RNA", at positions 342 to 2798 of the family's 2925-position model. The record is from RNAcentral. Lineage: Bacteria; Pseudomonadati; Pseudomonadota; Gammaproteobacteria; Enterobacterales; Enterobacteriaceae.
CUGGAAAGGCGUGCGAUACAGGGUGACAGCCCCGUACACAAAAAUGCACAUAUUGUGAGCUCGAUGAGUAGGGCGGGACACGUGGUAUCCUGUCUGAAUAUGGGGGGACCAUCCUCCAAGGCUAAAUACUCCUGACUGACCGAUAGUGAACCAGUACCGUGAGGGAAAGGCGAAAAGAACCCCGGCGAGGGGAGUGAAAAAGAACCUGAAACCGUGUACGUACAAGCAGUGGGAGCCUCUUUUAUGGGGUGACUGCGUACCUUUUGUAUAAUGGGUCAGCGACUUAUAUUCUGUAGCAAGGUUAACCGAAUAGGGGAGCCGAAGGGAAACCGAGUCUUAACUGGGCGUUAAGUUGCAGGGUAUAGACCCGAAACCCGGUGAUCUAGCCAUGGGCAGGUUGAAGGUUGGGUAACACUAACUGGAGGACCGAACCGACUAAUGUUGAAAAAUUAGCGGAUGACUUGUGGCUGGGGGUGAAAGGCCAAUCAAACCGGGAGAUAGCUGGUUCUCCCCGAAAGCUAUUUAGGUAGCGCCUCGUGAAUUCAUCUCCGGGGGUAGAGCACUGUUUCGGCAAGGGGGUCAUCCCGACUUACCAACCCGAUGCAAACUGCGAAUACCGGAGAAUGUUAUCACGGGAGACACACGGCGGGUGCUAACGUCCGUCGUGAAGAGGGAAACAACCCAGACCGCCAGCUAAGGUCCCAAAGUCAUGGUUAAGUGGGAAACGAUGUGGGAAGGCCCAGACAGCCAGGAUGUUGGCUUAGAAGCAGCCAUCAUUUAAAGAAAGCGUAAUAGCUCACUGGUCGAGUCGGCCUGCGCGGAAGAUGUAACGGGGCUAAACCAUGCACCGAAGCUGCGGCAGCGACGCUUAUGCGUUGUUGGGUAGGGGAGCGUUCUGUAAGCCUGUGAAGGUGUGCUGUGAGGCAUGCUGGAGGUAUCAGAAGUGCGAAUGCUGACAUAAGUAACGAUAAAGCGGGUGAAAAGCCCGCUCGCCGGAAGACCAAGGGUUCCUGUCCAACGUUAAUCGGGGCAGGGUGAGUCGACCCCUAAGGCGAGGCCGAAAGGCGUAGUCGAUGGGAAACAGGUUAAUAUUCCUGUACUUGGUGUUACUGCGAAGGGGGGACGGAGAAGGCUAUGUUGGCCGGGCGACGGUUGUCCCGGUUUAAGCGUGUAGGCUGGUUUUCCAGGCAAAUCCGGAAAAUCAAGGCUGAGGCGUGAUGACGAGGCACUACGGUGCUGAAGCAACAAAUGCCCUGCUUCCAGGAAAAGCCUCUAAGCAUCAGGUAACAUCAAAUCGUACCCCAAACCGACACAGGUGGUCAGGUAGAGAAUACCAAGGCGCUUGAGAGAACUCGGGUGAAGGAACUAGGCAAAAUGGUGCCGUAACUUCGGGAGAAGGCACGCUGAUAUGUAGGUGAAGUCCCUUGCGGAUGGAGCUGAAAUCAGUCGAAGAUACCAGCUGGCUGCAACUGUUUAUUAAAAACACAGCACUGUGCAAACACGAAAGUGGACGUAUACGGUGUGACGCCUGCCCGGUGCCGGAAGGUUAAUUGAUGGGGUCAGCGCAAGCGAAGCUCUUGAUCGAAGCCCCGGUAAACGGCGGCCGUAACUAUAACGGUCCUAAGGUAGCGAAAUUCCUUGUCGGGUAAGUUCCGACCUGCACGAAUGGCGUAAUGAUGGCCAGGCUGUCUCCACCCGAGACUCAGUGAAAUUGAACUCGCUGUGAAGAUGCAGUGUACCCGCGGCAAGACGGAAAGACCCCGUGAACCUUUACUAUAGCUUGACACUGAACAUUGAGCCUUGAUGUGUAGGAUAGGUGGGAGGCUUUGAAGUGUGGACGCCAGUCUGCAUGGAGCCGACCUUGAAAUACCACCCUUUAAUGUUUGAUGUUCUAACGUGGACCCGUGAUCCGGGUUGCGGACAGUGUCUGGUGGGUAGUUUGACUGGGGCGGUCUCCUCCUAAAGAGUAACGGAGGAGCACGAAGGUUGGCUAAUCCUGGUCGGACAUCAGGAGGUUAGUGCAAUGGCAUAAGCCAGCUUGACUGCGAGCGUGACGGCGCGAGCAGGUGCGAAAGCAGGUCAUAGUGAUCCGGUGGUUCUGAAUGGAAGGGCCAUCGCUCAACGGAUAAAAGGUACUCCGGGGAUAACAGGCUGAUACCGCCCAAGAGUUCAUAUCGACGGCGGUGUUUGGCACCUCGAUGUCGGCUCAUCACAUCCUGGGGCUGAAGUAGGUCCCAAGGGUAUGGCUGUUCGCCAUUUAAAGUGGUACGCGAGCUGGGUUUAGAACGUCGUGAGACAGUUCGGUCCCUAUCUGCCGUGGGCGCUGGAGAACUGAGGGGGGCUGCUCCUAGUACGAGAGGACCGGAGUGGACGCAUCACUGGUGUUCGGGUUGUCAUGCCAAUGGCACUGCCCGGUAGCUAAAUGCGGAAGAGAUAAGUGCUGAAAGCAUCUAAGCACGAAACUUGCC